ACGUAGGGCGCAAGCGUUAUCCGGAAUUAUUGGGCGUAAAGAGCUCGUAGGCGGUUUGUCGCGUCUGCUGUGAAAGACCGGGGCUCAACUCCGGUUCUGCAGUGGGUACGGGCAGACUAGAGUGAUGUAGGGGAGACUGGAAUUCCUGGUGUAGCGGUGAAAUGCGCAGAUAUCAGGAGGAACACCGGUGGCGAAGGCGGGUCUCUGGGCCGAUACUGACGCUGAGGAGCGAAAGCGUGGGGAGCGAACAGGA
This 253-nucleotide ribosomal RNA is filed under the name uncultured prokaryote. RNAcentral describes it as "partial 16S ribosomal RNA". It matches the Rfam family "Bacterial small subunit ribosomal RNA", at positions 525 to 777 of the family's 1533-position model. The record is from RNAcentral.